Molecule: ribosomal RNA, 415 nt
Filed under: Stenotrophomonas koreensis
Lineage: Bacteria; Pseudomonadati; Pseudomonadota; Gammaproteobacteria; Lysobacterales; Lysobacteraceae
Description: bacterial SSU rRNA
Rfam family: Bacterial small subunit ribosomal RNA
Source: RNAcentral
CGCAGCCUGAUCCAGCCAUACCGCGUGGGUGAAGAAGGCCUUCGGGUUGUAAAGCCCUUUUGUUGGGAAAGAAAAGCAGCCGGCUAAUACCCGGUUGUUCUGACGGUACCCAAAGAAUAAGCACCGGCUAACUUCGUGCCAGCAGCCGCGGUAAUACGAAGGGUGCAAGCGUUACUCGGAAUUACUGGGCGUAAAGCGUGCGUAGGUGGUUGUUUAAGUCUGUCGUGAAAGCCCUGGGCUCAACCUGGGAACUGCGAUGGAAACUGGGCGACUAGAGUGUGGUAGAGGGUAGCGGAAUUCCUGGUGUAGCAGUGAAAUGCGUAGAUAUCAGGAGGAACAUCCAUGGCGAAGGCAGCUACCUGGGCCAACACUGACACUGAGGCACGAAAGCGUGGGGAGCAAACAGGAUUAGAUA